Molecule: long non-coding RNA, 2788 nt
Organism: Pectinophora gossypiella (pink bollworm)
Lineage: Eukaryota; Metazoa; Arthropoda; Insecta; Lepidoptera; Gelechiidae
Exons: 2
Source: RefSeq, a predicted model, not a curated record
AUAGAUCCAUCUCUACUCAUACUCAGCACCCAAACGAUAUCCUUUGCUUUACCUAACCCGUAUUCUUUGCCGUACCCGUACCUAUCCUUCACCAGACCCAUGUUCUCCACUCAUAUUCCAUUCCAAAACCUUCACUUCCUUUACUUCAUUGCUUGAUUCCGCCACGUCCAGAGAAGCGGAGACGGAACACAACCGUAUCGCCACCGAAUAAUGUGACGUGAAACAUAGAUGCAAUGUGAUUAAAGAAUACACUUCUCAAUGGAAAUAAAAUAUCUUUAUCAAUAAAAUCGUUUUGUUUUCCCGUCACUUCCUUGUGGUUUUCAGAUGUUUAGGUUUGAGUGCAAAUGUACUGCAUGAAAAUGAUAUCUUAGAUAUUCAUACACAUAGACUCACGCGUAUUCCCCGCCGGGGUAAGCGGAGUCUAUGGAAUUCCGUUUGCUUCGAUCCUGCCAUACUUAUCUUGCUUCUUCCACAUUUAUCAAUCGUUUCAUACACGCACGCCGGAUCAGAGUAGAUCUUCCUGAACCUUUUGUAAUGACAUAUCCAAUUUGGUCAAUAUACGUCCUUCUAGGUCUUUCUCUACCAGCACCACCAACCUUCGCUUUAUAUACUGCCUUCGUAAUCCUAUUAUCCUUCAUCCGCUCUAUUUGUCCAAACCAACUUAACAUUCCCUUCUCAAAAGAUUGAGCCUAAGAAGACUAAAAAGAAGUGACUAAGAAGUAACUGUAUCGUCUUUUACACAACAUCUCUCUCUUCACACUGUGUCUCACUCUGUCACUCAAUUUAACACGACGCGACGCAACAGCAACGACCUCAUUUCUACGGCAUUAAUCCUACUUUCAUGCUUCUUCUGCCUACCAUACAUCAGCGUAGAGACAAGUACUGCAUUGUGAAUCGCAUCGUGCGAGAUACAUUGGCUACUAACAACUGCAUGCAUUCACCGAAUUACCCAAUUUUACUUUUCUUUCCAUAUCAUCAUCACAUUUACCAUCCCUUUUAACAUAGUACCCAAAUACACAAAUUCAUUCACUUGUUCAACAAUAUCUUCGUGUUACCUACAAAAAUAAAUUUUGUACUCACAGCAAUAUGCAUUUCUAACCAAUAUUCCUUUUGCUAAGAAAUAUAAUAAAAAGGUACCAAAAUAAACCUAUUUUACUUAAUGCCGCCAGCGUAAUGAACACUUUCCCACCGGGGUAAGCAGAGACUAUGGAAUUCCAGUUGCUUCGAUCCUGAUACACUUCUCUUGCUUCCUCCUGUAUACGAGUAUGUGUGUCGUAGGUUUUACCUAAAUAAACUUUUUAUUAUUAUUAUUAAGAUCGAUAAUGAUAUGUACUCGUAUUUUGAAAUGUUGACAUGUAUUACAAUGUAUUUAUUAUUAAGCUUUAUUAAAUUAUAUAAAUUAAUGAGUUAAUUGUUUUUUACCGUUAAAAAUAGUUAUUUAUUUGAUUAUUUUACUUAAACAAUUAAAAAUUUUAUCUUCGAACCACCUGUGUAAAAGAUUUUUUUUUACGUAGCUUUAAAACAACAAUUUCACUUCACUUCUAAACUCCAAAAGUCCGACUUGAAAACAAACGAAACCACGUGUUUUAAUAAGUGUGAAAUGCAAAAUACACGCUUAAGUACCUAGGUGCAUAAAAUCUUUGGACUUAUUAUACAGAAAUACUUUUCGAAGCGAAGCGAAAGCGAAGGUUGGUGGUAGGGCUGGCAGAGAAGACCUAGAAGGACAUACAUUGACCAAAAUGGAGAUGCCCUAACAAAAGGUUCAGGACGAUCUACUCUGAACCGGCGUGCAUGAAACUAUUUAAAUAUGGAGGAAGCAAGAGAAGUGUAUCACGAUCGAAGCAAAUGGAAUUCCAUAGUCUCUGCUUACCCCGGUGGGAAAGAGGCGUGAGUUUAUGUAUGUGUACGUAUGUACAUAUACAAACCACAUAAAAUCGAUUUCACGAACCCGGACAUCCAGAUUGUGAACCAAACGCUUCAACCACUAGACUACAAAAGCUGUUUGUGAAAUAAUUAUAAAUAAUAGUAUGGUAACCUAAUUUAUAGAAAAGUUAAUAAAAAUAAUAAUAAAAAUCAUUAUUAUUAAUAAGGCCGUCCAUAAAUUUUACUGUACCUAAUCUAUUCUUCGAACGUGGAAAAUAUUUCUUUUCUGUGUGUGAGUGUAAUAAAUAAUAAUAAUAUUGUAUUGUAUUGGAUUUUUGAAGGUUGCCAAUAUAGUAUAAAUACAGUAGCAAAACGAAACUUAUCACAGUUCUUUGGAAGCAGCUGCUGGAAAAAUGCGUCUUUUAAUAACAUUAUCUAUAUUUGCAUUUUUAUUUGGGAUGUGCGUAGCACAACGUAUAACAUGCGGCUGCCCGCCCAUCGACGAUCCGGUAUGCGGUACAAAUGGGAAGACGUACGAUAAUGAUUGCUUGUUGGGAUGUGACCGUUCCAGUCCUUGGAAGGUCGAAAUACAACAUAGAGGAAAAUGCUACUGAUCCCCCAAACGAUACUCCAAACUUACCCGGUAAAGCAAACUUUACCCAACCCAUAUUUUUGCACCACCCAUAUCUUUUUACCCAACCCAUAUUUUUGCACCACCCAUAGGUAUCUUUUCACCCAACCCAUGUCUUUCACCCAUAUCCUACUCCUACGACCCAAUCCCGCCGCCGUACUCAUAUUCUGAGUAUCACAAAUCCGGCUUAUUUCAUUUCCCACUCCAAAACAUUAAUUGGAUCGUGUACUAGGUUCAAGAUAAAUUAUGAAACUCUGAUUACUAAAUAAAGAAAGAUCUAAAACUAAAGAAAAU